UGGCUCAGAACGAACGCUGGCGGCAGGCCUAACACAUGCAAGUCGAGCAACCCUUCGGGGUUAGCGGCGACGGGUUAGUAACGCGUGGGAAUAUACCCUUUGGUACGGAAUAGCCUCGGGAAACUGAGAGUAAUACCGUAUGUNCCCUUCGGGGGAAAGAUUUAUCGCCAAAGGAUUAGCCCGCGUUGGAUUAGAUAGUUGUGGGGUAAUGGCCUACCAAGUCUACGAUCCAUAGCUGGUUUGAGAGGAUGAUCAGCAACACUGGGACUGAGACACGGCCCAGACUCCUACGGGAGGCAGCAGUGGGGAAUCUUAGACAAUGGGCGCAAGCCUGAUCUAGCCAUGCCGCGUGGACGAUGAAGGCCUUAGGGUUGUAAAGUCCUUUCAGAUGGGAAGAUAAUGACGGUACCAUCAGAAGAAGCCCCGGCUAACUCCGUG
RNAcentral lists this ribosomal RNA (438 nucleotides) under uncultured bacterium. Its description in RNAcentral is "bacterial SSU rRNA". It matches the Rfam family "Bacterial small subunit ribosomal RNA", at positions 20 to 507 of the family's 1533-position model. The record is from RNAcentral.